RNAcentral lists this ribosomal RNA (371 nucleotides) under uncultured Nitrosomonas sp. RNAcentral's name for it is "bacterial SSU rRNA". It matches the Rfam family "Bacterial small subunit ribosomal RNA", at positions 207 to 569 of the family's 1533-position model. The record is from RNAcentral. Lineage: Bacteria; Pseudomonadati; Pseudomonadota; Betaproteobacteria; Nitrosomonadales; Nitrosomonadaceae.
CAAGACCUUGCGCUCCUGGAGCGGCCGAUGUCUGAUUAGCUAGUUGGUGAGGUAAAGGCUUACCAAGGCGACGAUCAGUAGCUGGUCUGAGAGGACGACCAGCCACACUGGGACUGAGACACGGCCCAGACUCCUACGGGGGGCCGCAGUGGGGAAUUUUGGACAAUGGGGGAAACCCUGAUCCAGCCAUGCCGCGCGAGUGAAGAAGGCCUUCGGGUUGUAAAGCACUUUCAGCCGGAACGAAAAGGUCACGUCUAAUACCUGUGAUCACUGACGGUACCGGAAGAAGAAGCAGCGGCUAACUACGGGCCAGCAGCCGCGGUAAUACGUAGGGUGCAAGCGUUAAUCGGAAUUACUAGGCGUAAAGCGUG